Long non-coding RNA from Alligator mississippiensis (American alligator), 525 nucleotides. RefSeq lists it as uncharacterized. The record is from RefSeq and is a predicted model, not a curated record. The transcript has 2 exons. Lineage: Eukaryota; Metazoa; Chordata; Crocodylia; Alligatoridae.
CACACACAGCUAGUUUUCCUUCAUUAGCAUGCAUCAUCUAGGCAAGGCUGAGCCAGGACAGACUUAGAAGGAAUAUGGAUUCAUUUUGUUACAGAAGAGCAAAGCUUGGGAAACGGGGAGGAUGUGAUGACUGCAGCACCUGGGGUAAUCAUCACCUACCGUGACAGGACUGAUGACGCAUAUUCGAAUUUCAAGCUGCCCUGCUUAGCUGUGAGUGGUCAGAACAGCUGCAGCAUCUUGUUUCCAUUUUCUGACUAAAUAAGCACACACAAGUAACUCUAGUGCAAGCAUCUGUGUACACAGUUUGGUCUGCAAGUACGCAUACAAGUAACCUGAAAAUCUACUUCUUGCAAACAUUUUCUGCCAGCAAAACCCCGCUCUUCAGAAGUUUGUAGAAAACGAGAUCAGCCAUAGCUAAAGCAAAUUCAUUUAAAUAUGCGAACUGUGUCAACAUUUUUUAUGCAUUACUUGCUCAAUUCUAAUGAUUAUGCAUAUACUCUAAAUAAAAACUUGUGAUGAAAACCA